This 457-nucleotide ribosomal RNA is filed under the name uncultured bacterium. RNAcentral's name for it is "bacterial SSU rRNA". It matches the Rfam family "Bacterial small subunit ribosomal RNA", at positions 340 to 789 of the family's 1533-position model. The record is from RNAcentral.
UACGGAAGGCAGCAGUAGGGAAUCUUCCGCAAUGGACGAAAGUCUGACGGAGCAACGCCGCGUGAACGAUGAAGGCUUUCGGGUCGUAAAGUUCUGUUGUUAGGGAAGAACAAGUACCAGAGUAACUGCUGGUACCUUGACGGUACCUAACCAGAAAGCCACGGCUAACUACGUGCCAGCAGCCGCGGUAAUACGUAGGUGGCAAGCGUUGUCCGGAAUUAUUGGGCGUAAAGCGCGCGCAGGUGGUCCUUUAAGUCUGAUGUGAAAGCCCACGGCUCAACCGUGAGGGUCAUUGGAAACUGGGGGACUUGAGUGCAGAAGAGGAAAGUGGAAUUCCACGUGUAGCGGUGAAAUGCGUAGAGAUGUGGAGGAACACCAGUGGCGAAGGCGACUUUCUGGUCUGUAACUGACACUGAGGCGCGAAAGCGUGGGGAGCGAACAGGGAUUAGAUACCCGU